CUGUUUUUAUUUUUGUUAUGACCUCUGAUCAAAAGUUUAAUUUGAUCAAAAUUUCUUAAAAAUAGUGAAAACGACUCCCAACAACAUGGAAGAUGGCUAUAAAAGAUAAAAGGAAAGGAUUAAAAAGAAAAGAUGCGCCUGUUCCAAAAUAAAAAUAAAAUGGCGGCGUCAAGUUUAUAACAAAAAUCAAAACGGUGCAUUUGAAAGUGUAUAAAAUACAUUUAGAGCGGGAGUUGUGUUGUUUCUUGAAGGCAGAAUGUUUGUGAGAUAUUUGUCCACGAAGCCGAAACCAAAGAUGAAGCCCAUAGAGCUCAAAAGUCGACCGGAGCAAAUUCAGACAACCCUAGCUGCCUUAACCUUGUAGUGACUCGGUGAAGAUGAAGUGAAGCACCAGUAGAACAAUGGAGAUGGAAGCCCCUCAGCAUGAAAACUUUUCGACAGUGACACAGCUCUUAUUCCAGAAGCUGCACAGAAGAACGACCUGAAUCCUCUUCAAAACUUUCAAAUUUUUAUCAAGUAAAGCUUUCAAAAUUUCUCAACAAACUGAUUAUUUGGUGUGGUUGCCACAUUUUGUGCAACUGCUAUUCGUCUUCAAGUGCAAAUUCCUUGCCUUCUAAGUUAGGGAAGAUAGAUGUUAAGCAAAGUGGGAAACAGAACAAACAGGGCAAAAAUUAAAAUAACAGAACAGCAAUGAUGGCAAUUAACAAACUAAUAGCAAUAUUCCAUUUGAUUGUUUAGCCCAAUUGUUCCUUCUCUCAGCAUUCUUCAAAAGUUUUUGAAAAUUAGAUGUGAAGCAAACAAAAUAAAACAAAUUUAGACAACAGAUGCCCUGUAUUCAGCAUCAUAUAUAUACCUUGAAUACCUAAUAUAAUAAAUUUCACAUCUAAAAUACUAGAAAUUUCAAACAGUACCAGCAAUAGAAUAAUGACAACAACAAUAACAGAAAAUUACAAGAUUGCUGAUAAAAUUUCAUCUGCAUGGAUGUAUGACAAAAAUUCUGUGAUUUAAUGUGCGUUCAUGCAUGCAAGUCCUAACGUUCCUGUGAUCACAAAAUGAAACUGAAGAUAAAUCAGAACAACUACCAAACCUUUGACUGAAAAUUCAAAAAAAUUUAUAUUCAAAAUGUCAAAAUAAACUGGAAAUUUAUUACAUAUAUUACAAGAAGCAGUACACCAAUGGUAAAUUGAUACAUCGUUUUUUAACUUAAGAUAGUCAAAUGAAAGAAACACAAAGGAGGGUUAAUGUAACACUUUCAAGCAUUAGUGAUACAGUAAAGUGAAUGACCUCAGCAUGUAAACUUAACUUCAAAGCACGGAGCACACGUUUCACAGAAAAGUAGCUCUUAUUCCUGAUGCUGCAAACACACAGGAGUGACCUCAAUCUUCUUCAUAUUUAUUUUGAACAAUAAAUUUGUCAUCAAGUUUUAGCCUUCUUCUUCAACCAAUUACAGCACGAUCUUGAGCUCUGUGUUUCUUUUUUUAAAUCAUUCAAAAGAUCUCUGUCAUUAAUUUUUCAAUGAUAAAAAUUAUAUUUUUGUCUCACAAAAUAUAAAAUAUAAAAAAAUAAAACAUAUAUUAUAGGUCCGUUUGAGAUUAUUUUUAAAGGCCCAAAAGUCAUUUUGAAAAGUUAAAUGUUAAUUUUGGUAUAAGGUAAAAUUUUUAGAAAUCACCUUUGGUAAAAAUCACUUAUCCUACAAGAAAUUAUGGAAAGCAAAAAAAGAAUAGUUUGUCAAAAUCUAAUUUUGAUAACUAGUUUUAUACUUAAUACAAUUCUAUCUACAACCUUAUAUAUAUUAUAAAAAUAUAAAAUUAUCCUUAUUAUUUAGGAAAUAAAAUUAUUAAUUUUAAAGAUAUUUUAACAAUUACAUUGAGAUAACAAAAUAAAAAUAAAAUUAAUAAUAUAAAAUAUUUAUUUCUGUGAUCAAUUAUUAUAUGUACAAGAUUAAAAAAAAUUAUAUAUACAUGUUAAUAAAUGUAUAAAUAAAUUUUAUCUAACAUUAUGUUCAAUUCGGUCAUUUAUAUUAAUAGCACUUUAGAAGUAAAUUUUCCUAAAUAUUUAACUGAUUAUCUUCACAGUGAUUAUUUCCACAACAUAACAACCAAAAAUUAUUAUAAAAGAUACAACAUUACCAAAAAAUAUUGAGGUACAUUUUAAUUAGGUAAUUGACGUAAUUAUGAAUCAAUUUAUUAUUUCCAUAUGUGUUAUCUAAACCAGCUCAUUAAUGCGAUCACUCUUUUUCUUAAAUAAAAUAUUCUUACCAAACAAUUGUUGCAAAAUUUCAAAUAUAAAUUACAAACAACAAAAUUUUCUAAAGUCAUAACAAUUAUUUAUGUUCUGAAUACAUGUAACUAAACCACAUUGAAAGUUGUCAAAACAGGAGGACAUAUUGUUAGUAAAAUUAUUUCUCAAGCAAAUGCAGUGACGGAUUUGGUUUCAUGUUUCACCCUCAAUAACUUAAUUUUCAUAUCUAACAAAUCAUUCAUAUUAUUAACAAUAUCAUCACCAACCAUAAUCUACCUAAACAUACAUAUAACUAUAUACAUACCGAAUCAGGAAAACAAUGAAGGCUACACGUAUCCGGCUCUACAAUUCCUUGUUGGUACCCUUGUGCUUCUAAAAUAAUCGACCAAUUAUAAAAAUUAGCUUAGGUGCAACUUUACGCCUUUUUUUGGAAAACUUAACUAUAAAUAAAGUAUACAAAUCUCUAAAUUAACUUCUUUCCCAUGAAAUUCAGCAUAAAUAGAAAUAGAAUUAUAGAAACCUUACUACCUUUUAUGAGAAAUCCAACUUAUAUAUUUGAGACCUCUCUCUCUAAGCACGCGCUUCCUCUCUCUGCACACUUUCCACCUUUAAAUUCUCCUUCAUUAAGUUUACCUAAAAGAAUUUAGCGUUCUCCCAGUUUCUUUAGCAUUUUUCUCCGUGAAAAUUGGUGAAAAAGAGAAAGUGAUUUGAUUAUUUUAAUGUAUGACAGAUCUGGUUUCCAUCUCUGUAAUUUAAGUUUGUCAAAACGAGA
Molecule: long non-coding RNA, 3013 nt
Filed under: Citrus maxima (pomelo)
Lineage: Eukaryota; Viridiplantae; Streptophyta; Magnoliopsida; Sapindales; Rutaceae
Description: long non-coding RNA (CMAX_LNC000337)
Source: RNAcentral